ACUUGUUGGCUUCGAGCUCUGAUAUUAAGCAGAGCAGUUCUUCAAAACUGCCCACAUCUGUCCUCUCGUGUCUCAAAGUUGUUCUUUCUCCUGAGGUGCUAGCUAUGUGUGCUGAUGUUACCCUGAGCGCUUAAGAGAGCGAGGAGAGCUGUCUGCUUCUCCUGGAGAUUUCUGGAGCAAACUUGAAAGAAAACCCUUGUAAGACCAAAGCAGAUCUGUACUGUGGAAUUCAAGAUAGAGGAGGAGUGUCUCUCCCUUAUGGUGCUUAUCUUACAUACUGUUUCAUAUUUCUUGGGGCUUUUGGCUGGUGGUGGCCUAUUCAGCAGCCAUUUGGAGGCUCUACCUUGCAAAUGCUAGCUUCAAGUGUCAAAAAAAACAGUGAGGACUAGGAGGGUUCUGCCAAUCUUGAGUUGAGACCCAGGAGUAAGAAACUUUGAAGAUAAUCACAUUCACAUCAGAGAAGCUGCACUUGGUAAGUAAAGUUCCUGUCAAACUUUGCAUGAAGUCAGAGAGAGCUGCAUGUGCGUUUGCAGAUGAUCAGACCUGUGAGAAGCAAAAUUAGUUGGGAAAACCCAGAUAUCAGUAAGGUCUGUAUAGAAAAGGUUAAUAUUAAUGCUACUUAGUGAUCUAUGCUGUAAAAUAAGAAAUUGAAAGAAUUUAA
Molecule: long non-coding RNA, 661 nt
Organism: Lagopus leucura (white-tailed ptarmigan)
Lineage: Eukaryota; Metazoa; Chordata; Aves; Galliformes; Phasianidae
Exons: 4
Source: RefSeq, a predicted model, not a curated record